CUCCUGCCCUUGAGGUAAAAUCUAUUAAAGUCUUUCAGAAAUUGGUCCCUGUCAACUUGACAGUAUAGAAUGGGCCAAUGGUUUACAUGGGGACAUUUUGGAAAUUUGAGUUUUUGUCUUUCUCAAUUAAAAAGACAUGCUACUGGAAUUUGGUCAGGAAUUCUAGAGUGUUGCAAUUCAAGAGAUGAUUCCUUAUAACCAAGAAUUCUCUUGCGUUUCACAAGACUUUUGGAUGACCUGCUGGAUGUACUAUGUGAAAAACGUCUUUGUAAUUAGCUGAUCCCAGGAUCUAUCUCCAUUAACCGUACACUCAAGGGAGAAGGGGACAAGUUUAUUUCUGGAUUUCUGGAUUACUCUUAUCAUGAGAAUGUAGUCCUUUGAAUCCCACCUUUAUGGAAGGAGAAACUCCUGCUAAAUUCCUCUUAUUGAGGUUGUUCUGGGGUGUUCCCUUUUCCCAUGAGACAUUCACAAAAAUCUCAAAUUCACCUAGUUAGGCAAGCACCUUCAGAACAAAAGCCUGCUUCAGUGUUCCACUUACAUCUCUCUGUGUCCCCGCCUUCACUUACUGUGUUUUGCCCUGAAAAUUCCUUACUUUUCUAAGCAGUGCAUCAAAGCAUUUGAGAUUUUUAUUUUUUAUUUUUUUUGGUGGGGGGGGGUACCAGGGAUUGAACUCAGGGACAGUUGAGCACUGAGCCACAUCCCUAGCCCUAUUUUGUAUUUUGUUAGAGACAGGGUCUCAGGGUCUCACUGAGUUGCUUAGCACCUGGCUAAAUUGCUGAGGCUGGCUUUGAAUUUGUAAUCCUCCUGCCUCCGCCUCCCUAGCUGCUGGGAUUGCAGGUGUGCACCACCAUGCCCAGCUCAGCAUUUGAGAUAUAUUUUUUAAAAUAUUUAUUUUUUAGGUAUAGAUGGACACAACACAAUGCCUUUAUUUUUAUGUGGUGCUGAGGAUGGAACCCGGGUCCCGCCCGUGCUAGCCAAGCGCUCCACUGCUGAGCCACAAUCCCAGCCCAGCAUUUGAGA
This 1020-nucleotide long non-coding RNA is filed under the name Marmota monax (woodchuck). The record is from RNAcentral. Lineage: Eukaryota; Metazoa; Chordata; Mammalia; Rodentia; Sciuridae.